AUUGCAGGACACAUUGAACAUCGACAUUUUGAACGCAUAUUGCGGCCAAGGGUCCGUCCUUUGGCCACGCCCGUCUGAGGGUCGGCU
This 87-nucleotide ribosomal RNA is filed under the name Cochlostoma elegans. Its description in RNAcentral is "partial 5.8S ribosomal RNA". It matches the Rfam family "5.8S ribosomal RNA", at positions 71 to 154 of the family's 154-position model. Rfam says of the family: 5.8S ribosomal RNA (5.8S rRNA) is a component of the large subunit of the eukaryotic ribosome. It is transcribed by RNA polymerase I as part of the 45S precursor that also contains 18S and 28S rRNA. Functionally, it is thought that 5.8S rRNA may be involved in ribosome translocation. Lineage: Eukaryota; Metazoa; Mollusca; Gastropoda; Architaenioglossa; Cochlostomatidae. The record is from RNAcentral.